UAUCCUUCAACCAUCUUGAGGGUGAGGUACCAAACGAGGGGGUUUUCAAAAAUGUGAGUGCAUUAUCAAUCCUGGGAAAUGACGGGCUCUGUGGCGGCAUGUUACAGCUUCAUCUACCUGCAUGUCCUACCCCCAUAAGGUCUCCUAGAAAGAAAAGAUUGCAAAGAUAUGUUAGAAUAGUGAUACCAAUAACCGGAGCAACUCUAUUCUUCAUUCUGUCUUUGCUCGCAGCUUUGUUGUUUUAUCGAAAAUUUAAAUUAAGAAAGAAAGAUGCACCAUUGACGCAAGAAAUUGAGGAUCAAUAUCCGAAAGUUUCUUAUGGAGAAUUAUUUAAAGCAACUGAUGGGUUCUCCCAAACCAAUUUGAUAGGGAAAGGAAGAUAUGGCUCUGUGUACAAAGGCACUCUAAGUUACAAUCAAAGCACCAUAGUCGCCAUCAAAGUUUUUAACCUUCAGCAGUCAGGGUCUUCUAAAAGCUUUAUUGCCGAAUGUGAGGCACUAAGAAGAGUUCGCCACCGUAGUCUCAUCAAGAUCAUUAGUUGUUGUUCGAGCAUUGACUACCAGGGUACCGAUUUUAAAGCCCUGAUCUUUGAGUUCAUGCCUAAUAACAGUUUAGAAAGCUGGUUGCAUCCGAAGGUUGAUGACUCACAACAAUGUAAAACUCUCAGCCUACCUGAGAGGUUGAACAUUCUGGUCGAUGUUGCCGAUGCGCUGGAUUAUCUUCACCACAGUUGUCAGCCAGCAAUUGUACAUUGUGAUAUGAAGCCGAGUAACAUCCUUCUUGAUCAAGAAAAGUGCGCACAU
Molecule: long non-coding RNA, 803 nt
Filed under: Ananas comosus (pineapple)
Lineage: Eukaryota; Viridiplantae; Streptophyta; Magnoliopsida; Poales; Bromeliaceae
Description: long non-coding RNA (ACOM_LNC012750)
Source: RNAcentral